UGAGGAAUAUUGGACAAUGGGCGCAAGCCUGAUCCAGCCAUGCCGCGUGUAGGAAGAAGCAUCUAUGGUGUGUAAACUGCUCUUGUACGGGAAGAAACACUCCUUCGUGAAGGAGCUUGACGGUACCGUAAGAAUAAGGAUCGGCUAACUCCGUGCCAGCAGCCGCGGUAAUACGGAGGAUCCAAGCGUUAUCCGGAAUCAUUGGGUUUAAAGGGUCCGUAGGCGGUUUAGUAAGUCAGUGGUGAAAGCCCAUCGCUCAACGAUGGAACGGCCAUUGAUACUGCUAGACUUGAAUUAUUAGGAAGUAACUAGAAUAUGUAGUGUAGCGGUGAAAUGCUUAGAUAUUACAUGGAAUACCGAUUGCGAAGGCAGGUUACCACCAAUGGAUUGACGCUGAUGGACGAAAGCGUGGGUAGCGAACA
This 422-nucleotide ribosomal RNA is filed under the name uncultured bacterium. Its description in RNAcentral is "bacterial SSU rRNA". It matches the Rfam family "Bacterial small subunit ribosomal RNA", at positions 355 to 774 of the family's 1533-position model. The record is from RNAcentral.